UGAAAUGUGCUAAGAACCCAUAAACAUUGCUUUGAAGCAUUAAAUGGCUUUUUAGUGUUGUUUGGGUUUAUAAUAUGUUAAUAUCCAUUAAUUUGAGUUAUUACAAGUGCUUGAGAUGCAUGAAGACUGUUUAGAAGUGUGGAGAAAGACUUGUUGAAAUUUGGUCCCAUAUGGGCUUAGAACUCAGAAACAUUGCGUUGAACCACUAAAUGGCUUGUCUAGAGUUGAUUGGGGUUAGAAUAUGUUAGAAUACAAUGAAUUUGAUUAAUUACAAAUGCUAGAGAUGCAUGAAGAGUGUUUAGAAGUGUGUAGAAAGACUUGCUGUAAUUUGGUCCGAAAUGGACUAAGAACCCACAAACAUUGCUUUGAAGUAUUAAAUGGCUUGUCUAGUGUUGUUUGGGGUUAGAAU
Molecule: long non-coding RNA, 409 nt
Filed under: Capsella rubella
Lineage: Eukaryota; Viridiplantae; Streptophyta; Magnoliopsida; Brassicales; Brassicaceae
Description: long non-coding RNA (CRUB_LNC000411)
Source: RNAcentral